RNAcentral lists this long non-coding RNA (433 nucleotides) under Citrus maxima (pomelo). RNAcentral's name for it is "long non-coding RNA (CMAX_LNC002232)". Lineage: Eukaryota; Viridiplantae; Streptophyta; Magnoliopsida; Sapindales; Rutaceae. The record is from RNAcentral.
AUGGAAUUCUUGUUUAUAGUACUCGUACGAAUGGUUCAUAGACCUAAUGCAAGACUGUCCAUUCAUAGACCUAAUGCAAGACUGUCCAUGGGUGGUAAAAAGGGGAAGAGUGGUUUCUUUCAUUGUGAGAUCAUGGCAAUUGCUUUUCCACCCAUCAACUUUACCUCCACUUGUAUGUACCUCGGAUCAAACUUGUCUUGAGCUAAUCCGCAAAAAUCUCCUAUAUCAGAAGAACUUGCAAAGCUAAAGAUCAAUCAUAUCAGCUGAACCUGUUCUUGAAAGACACCAGUUGGUGAAUUAUAUUAUUGUAAGCAUAUGUCAAAUCUCUUAAAAAAUAGUGCGCUAAAUAAUUUUGUUAAUUUUAUAAAUAAAUAAAGUUAACUAAUUUAAAAAGCUUAAGUAAUUAUAUUUUAAAAUUUUAAAAAGAUUAAAA